UACGAAGGGGGCUAGCGUUGCUCGGAAUUACUGGGCGUAAAGCGCAUGUAGGCGGAUUGUUAAGUCGGGGGUGAAAUCCUGGAGCUCAACUCCAGAACUGCCUUCGAUACUGGCGAUCUCGAGUUCGGGAGAGGUGAGUGGAACUGCGAGUGUAGAGGUGAAAUUCGUAGAUAUUCGCAAGAACACCAGUGGCGAAGGCGGCUCACUGGCCCGAUACUGACGCUGAGGUGCGAAAGCGUGGGGAGCAAACAGG
This 253-nucleotide ribosomal RNA is filed under the name uncultured bacterium. RNAcentral describes it as "partial 16S ribosomal RNA". It matches the Rfam family "Bacterial small subunit ribosomal RNA", at positions 524 to 776 of the family's 1533-position model. The record is from RNAcentral.